GACGAACGCUGGCGGCGUGCUUAACACAUGCAAGUCGAACGGAAAGGCCCUGCUUUUGUGGGGUGCUCGAGUGGCGAACGGGUGAGUAACACGUGAGUAACCUGCCCUUGACUUUGGGAUAACUUCAGGAAACUGGGGCUAAUACCGGAUAGGAGCUCCUGCUGCAUGGUGGGGGUUGGAAAGUUUCGGCGGUUGGGGAUGGACUCGCGGCUUAUCAGCUUGUUGGUGGGGUAGUGGCUUACCAAGGCUUUGACGGGUAGCCGGCCUGAGAGGGUGACCGGCCACAUUGGGACUGAGAUACGGCCCAGACUCCUACGGGAGGCAGCAGUGGGGAAUAUUGCACAAUGGGCGGAAGCCUGAUGCAGCAACGCCGCGUGCGGGAUGACGGCCUUCGGGUUGUAAACCGCUUUCGCCUGUGACGAAGCGUGAGUGACGGUAAUGGGUAAAGAAGCACCGGCUAACUACGUGCCAGCAGCCGCGGUGAUACGUAAGGUGCGAGCGUUGUCCGGAUUUAUUGGGCGUAAAGGGCUCGUAGGUGGUUGAUCGCGUCGGAAGUGUAAUCUUGGGGCUUAACCCUGAGCGUGCUUUCGAUACGGGUUGACUUGAGGAAGGUAGGGGAGAAUGGAAUUCCUGGUGGAGCGGUGGAAUGCGCAGAUAUCAGGAGGAACACCAGUGGCGAAGGCGGUUCUCUGGGCCUUUCCUGACGCUGAGGAGCGAAAGCGUGGGGAGCGAACAGGCUUAGAUACCCUGGUAGUCCACGCUGUAAACGGUGGGUACUAGGUGUGGGGUCCAUUCCACGGGUUCCGUGCCGUAGCUAACGCUCUAAGUACCCCGCCUGGGGAGUACGGCCGCAAGGCUAAAACUCAAAGGAAUUGACGGGGCCCCGCACAAGCGGCGGAGCAUGCGGAUUAAUUCGAUGCAACGCGUAGAACCUUACCUGGGUUUGACAUGGAUCGGGAGUGCUCAGAGAUGGGUGUGCCUCUUUUGGGGUCGGUUCACAGGUGGUGCAUGGCUGUCGUCAGCUCGUGUCGUGAGAUGUUGGGUUAAGUCCCGCAACGAGCGCAACCCUUGUUCACUGUUGCCAGCACGUUAUGGUGGGGACUCAGUGGAGACCGCCGGGGUCAACUCGGAGGAAGGUGGGGAUGACGUCAAGUCAUCAUGCCCCUUAUGUCCAGGGCUUCACGCAUGCUACAAUGGCUGGUACAGAGAGUGGCGAGCCUGUGAGGGUGAGCGAAUCUCGGAAAGCCGGUCUCAGUUCGGAUUGGAGUCUGCAACUCGACCUCAUGAAGUCGGAGUCGCUAGUAAUCGCAGAUCAGCAACGCUGCGGUGAAUACGUUCCCGGGGCU
Molecule: ribosomal RNA, 1346 nt
Filed under: uncultured bacterium
Lineage: Bacteria
Description: partial 16S ribosomal RNA
Rfam family: Bacterial small subunit ribosomal RNA
Source: RNAcentral